ACAACUCUUAGCGAUGGAUGUCUCGGCUCAAGUAACGAUGAAGGACGCCGCAAAAUGCGAUAAGCACUGUGAAUGGCAGAAUUCCGCGAAUCAGUAGAAUGCUGAACGCAUCCUGCACUUUCAGGAUUCUCUUGGAAGUAUAUCUGACUCAGGGCGUUUGUACCCUACUGCUCCAUGCUUUGUCACAUCUGUGGCCUGUAUGGUAGCGUUUUUGCGCGAUAGCGAUGCUUUUCCGUUGUCGCGU
RNAcentral lists this ribosomal RNA (244 nucleotides) under Amoebophrya sp. RCC 1626. Its description in RNAcentral is "5.8S ribosomal RNA". The stretch from base 3 to 157 matches the Rfam family "5.8S ribosomal RNA". Rfam says of the family: 5.8S ribosomal RNA (5.8S rRNA) is a component of the large subunit of the eukaryotic ribosome. Lineage: Eukaryota; Dinophyceae; Syndiniales; Amoebophryaceae. The record is from RNAcentral.